UGCGAAGCGAAGCAGUGAUGUGAAGCAAAUCGCACCAAAGCCGGUCCCAGUUCGGAUAAGAGGCUGAAACUCGCCUCUUUGAAGUCGGAAUCGCUAGUAAUCGCAGAUCAGCAUGUUGCGGUGAAUACGUUCCCGGGUCUUGUACACACCGCCCGUCAAGCCAUGAGAGUCACCAACACCCGAAGUCCGCGUUUGGCGGCCUAAGGUGGGGAGAUGAUUGGGGUUAAGUCGUAACAAGGUAAC
This 243-nucleotide ribosomal RNA is filed under the name uncultured bacterium. RNAcentral describes it as "partial 16S ribosomal RNA". It matches the Rfam family "Bacterial small subunit ribosomal RNA", at positions 1243 to 1500 of the family's 1533-position model. The record is from RNAcentral.